AGAGUUUGAUCAUGGCUCAGAUUGAACGCUGGCGGCAGGCCUAACACAUGCAAGUCGAGCGGAUGAAGGGAGCUUGCUCCUGGAUUCAGCGGCGGACGGGUGAGUAACGCCUAGGAAUCUGCCUGGUAGUGGGGGAUAACGUCCGGAAACGGGCGCUAAUACCGCAUACGUCCUGAGGGAGAAAGUGGGGGAUCUUCGGACCUCACGCUAACAGAUGAGCCUAGGUCGGAUUAGCUAGUUGGUGGGGUAAAGGCCUACCAAGGCGACGAUCCGUAACUGGUCUGAGAGGAUGAUCAGUCACACUGGAACUGAGACACGGUCCAGACUCCUACGGGAGGCAGCUGUGGGGAAUAUUGGACAAUGGGCGAAAGCCUGAUCCAGCCAUGCCGCGUGUGUGAAGAAGGUCUUCGGAUUGUAAAGCACUUUAAGUUGGGAGGAAGGGCAGUAAGUUAAUACCUUGCUGUUUUGACGUUACCAACAGAAUAAGCACCGGCUAACUUCGUGCCAGCAGCCGCGGUAAUACGAAGGGUGCAAGCGUUAAUCGGAAUUACUGGGCGUAAAGCGCGCGUAGGUGGUUCAGCAAGUUGGAUGUGAAAUCCCCGGGCUCAACCUGGGAACUGCAUCCAAAACUACUGAGCUAGAGUACGGUAGAGGGUGGUGGAAUUUCCUGUGUAGCGGUGAAAUGCGUAGAUAUAGGAAGGAACACCAGUGGCGAAGGCGACCACCUGGACUGAUACUGACACUGAGGUGCGAAAGCGUGGGGAGCAAACAGGAUUAGAUACCUUGGUAGUCCACGCCGUAAACGAUGUCGACUAGCCGUUGGGAUCCUUGAGAUCUUAGUGGCGCAGCUAACGCGAUAAGUCGACCGCCUGGGGAGUACGGCCGCAAGGUUAAAACUCAAAUGAAUUGACGGGGGCCCGCACAAGCGGUGGAGCAUGUGGUUUAACUCGAAGCAACGCGAAGAACCUUACCUGGCCUUGACAUGCUGAGAACUUUCCAGAGAUGGAUUGGUGCCUUCGGGAACUCAGACACAGGUGCUGCAUGGCUGUCGUCAGCUCGUGUCGUGAGAUGUUGGGUUAAGUCCCGUAACGAGCGCAACCCUUGUCCUUAGUUACCAGCACCUCGGGUGGGCACUCUAAGGAGACUGCCGGUGACAAACCGGAGGAAGGUGGGGAUGACGUCAAGUCAUCAUGGCCCUUACGGCCAGGGCUACACACGUGCUACAAUGGUCGGUACAAAGGGUUGCCAAGCCGCGAGGUGGAGCUAAUCCCAUAAAACCGAUCGUAGUCCGGAUCGCAGUCUGCAACUCGACUGCGUGAAGUCGGAAUCGCUAGUAAUCGUGAAUCAGAAUGUCACGGUGAAUACGUUCCCGGGCCUUGUACA
Molecule: ribosomal RNA, 1383 nt
Filed under: metagenome
Description: bacterial SSU rRNA
Rfam family: Bacterial small subunit ribosomal RNA
Source: RNAcentral